Molecule: ribosomal RNA, 1341 nt
Rfam family: Bacterial small subunit ribosomal RNA
UGGGUGGAUUAGUGGCGAACGGGUGAGUAACACGUGAGUAACCUGCCCUUAACUCUGGGAUAAGCCUGGGAAACUGGGUCUAAUACCGGAUAGGAGCGCCUACCGCAUGGUGGGUGUUGGAAAGAUUUAUCGGUUUUGGAUGGACUCGCGGCCUAUCAGCUUGUUGGUGAGGUAAUGGCUCACCAAGGCGACGACGGGUAGCCGGCCUGAGAGGGUGACCGGCCACACUGGGACUGAGACACGGCCCAGACUCCUACGGGAGGCAGCAGUGGGGAAUAUUGCACAAUGGGCGAAAGCCUGAUGCAGCGACGCCGCGUGAGGGAUGACGGCCUUCGGGUUGUAAACCUCUUUCAGUAGGGAAGAAGCGAAAGUGACGGUACCUGCAGAAGAAGCACCGGCUAACUACGUGCCAGCAGCCGCGGUAAUACGUAGGGUGCGAGCGUUAUCCGGAAUUAUUGGGCGUAAAGAGCUCGUAGGCGGUUUGUCGCGUCUGUCGUGAAAGUCCGGGGCUUAACCCCGGAUCUGCGGUGGGUACGGGCAGACUAGAGUGCAGUAGGGGAGACUGGAAUUCCUGGUGUAGCGGUGGAAUGCGCAGAUAUCAGGAGGAACACCGAUGGCGAAGGCAGGUCUCUGGGCUGUAACUGACGCUGAGGAGCGAAAGCAUGGGGAGCGAACAGGAUUAGAUACCCUGGUAGUCCAUGCCGUAAACGUUGGGCACUAGGUGUGGGGACCAUUCCACGGUUUCCGCGCCGCAGCUAACGCAUUAAGUGCCCCGCCUGGGGGAGUACGGCCGCAAGGCUAAAACUCAAAGGAAUUGACGGGGGCCCGCACAAGCGGCGGAGCAUGCGGAUUAAUUCGAUGCAACGCGAAGAACCUUACCAAGGCUUGACAUGUUCUCGAUCGCCGUAGAGAUACGGUUUCCCCUUUGGGGCGGGUUCACAGGUGGUGCAUGGUUGUCGUCAGCUCGUGUCGUGAGAUGUUGGGUUAAGUCCCGCAACGAGCGCAACCCUCGUUCCAUGUUGCCAGCACGUAAUGGUGGGGACUCAUGGGAGACUGCCGGGGUCAACUCGGAGGAAGGUGAGGACGACGUCAAAUCAUCAUGCCCCUUAUGUCUUGGGCUUCACGCAUGCUACAAUGGCCGGUACAAUGGGUUGCGAUACUGUGAGGUGGAGCUAAUCCCAAAAAGCCGGUCUCAGUUCGGAUUGGGGUCUGCAACUCGACCCCAUGAAGUCGGAGUCGCUAGUAAUCGCAGAUCAGCAACGCUGCGGUGAAUACGUUCCCGGGCCUUGUACACACCGCCCGUCAAGUCACGAAAGUUGGUAACACCCGAAGCCGGUGGCU